AGAUAAUAGAUACCCAGGUAGUCCUGGCCGUAAACGAUGUCGACUAGAUCGCAGUUCCUUUGACGGAAAUUGUGGUCGAAAGCAAAAGUGCUAAGUCGACCGCCUGGGAAGUACGGUCGCAAGGCUAAAAACUCAAAGAAAUUGACGGGGGCGUCACACAAGCGGUGGAGCAUGUGGUUCAAUUCGAAGCAACGCGCAGAACCUUACCUGGGCGUUGACAUGCUAGGAUUAUCUCGGUGAAAGUACGAGUAGGCCCGCAAGGGGUACGAACUAGUACAGGUGCUGCAUGGCUGUCGUCAGCUCGUGUCGUGAGAUGUCGGGUUAAGUCCCUUAACGAGCG
RNAcentral lists this ribosomal RNA (340 nucleotides) under uncultured bacterium. Its description in RNAcentral is "bacterial SSU rRNA". It matches the Rfam family "Bacterial small subunit ribosomal RNA", at positions 775 to 1098 of the family's 1533-position model. The record is from RNAcentral.